UACAGAGGUCCCAAGCGUUGUUCGGAUUCACUGGGCGUAAAGGGUGCGUAGGUGGUGAGGUAAGUCGGAUGUGAAAUCUCCAGCUACACUUGGAAGACUGCAUUGGAAACUACCUUGCUAGAGGAUUGAGGGGGAUUGGAAUACUUGGUGUAGCAGUGAAAUGCGUAGAUAUCAAGUGGAACACCAGUGGCGAAGGCGAAUCCCUGGAAAUACCUGACACUGAGG
This 225-nucleotide ribosomal RNA is filed under the name uncultured bacterium. RNAcentral describes it as "partial 16S ribosomal RNA". It matches the Rfam family "Bacterial small subunit ribosomal RNA", at positions 524 to 751 of the family's 1533-position model. The record is from RNAcentral.